Non-coding RNA from Schistosoma haematobium, 46 nucleotides. The record is from Rfam. NCBI's taxonomy places the organism in Eukaryota, Metazoa, Platyhelminthes, Trematoda, Strigeidida, Schistosomatidae.
ACACUGCUGCAGAGUCCUACCAUUGGACGAAACGGCCGUCCAGUAC